Molecule: ribosomal RNA, 490 nt
Filed under: uncultured bacterium
Lineage: Bacteria
Description: partial 16S ribosomal RNA
Rfam family: Bacterial small subunit ribosomal RNA
Source: RNAcentral
AUUGAACGCUGGCGGCAGGCCUAACACAUGCAAGUCGAACGGUAACAGGAAACAGCUUGCUGUUUCGCUGACGAGUGGCGGACGGGUGAGUAAUGUCUGGGAAACUGCCUGAUGGAGGGGGAUAACUACUGGAAACGGUAGCUAAUACCGCAUAACGUCGCAAGACCAAAGAGGGGGACCUUCGGGCCUCUUGCCAUCGGAUGUGCCCAGAUGGGAUUAGCUAGUAGGUGGGGUAACGGCUCACCUAGGCGACGAUCCCUAGCUGGUCUGAGAGGAUGACCAGCCACACUGGAACUGAGACACGGUCCAGGCUCCUACGGGAGGCAGCAGUGGGGAAUAUUGCACAAUGGGCGCAAGCCUGAUGCAGCCAUGCCGCGUGUAUGAAGAAGGCCUUCGGGUUGUAAAGUACUUUCAGCGGGGAGGAAGGGAGUAAAGUUAAUACCUUUACUCAUUGACGUUACCCGCAGAAGAAGCACCGGCUAACUCCGUG